GCGGUGGCUUUGCUUGCUACAGCGUGCAUGACCGAGUACGCGAUCGAUGCGCGCGCGCGGAUGCGUACGUGCGGGCAAUGAUGAAACGAGCCGGGGCAAAUGCAACGUGUGAUGCGCGGCGGCCAAACCCGUGGCUCGCUCGAUCGAUCGGGAUGAUGACAGGAUCGAUGCGAUGGUGGUACUGUCGAUCGUCACCAGCGAUGAUAUGUGAAUUGAAGAGCUAGGGCAUGCAGAUGAAACAAGAAGAGCAUAUGCAAUUAACUGCUGCGAUUAAUUAGGAACCGCGCUCAUGAGCAUAGAGCAAGUGCUAAUUAAUCACAGUACGUAACGACAAGGAGAUGAGAGUCCUGAUCACCAUAACUACGAGUCAGGAUUGGGCGUACUCGAGAUGCAUCAUCCAUUCAUCAUGAGUGUAGCUAGUACUGUAUACGUGGGCAAGGGCCUUGUUUAGUUUCCAAAAAAAAAUAUAAAAUUUUGUCAGAUCCUCAUCACAUCAGCACAUGCAUGAAGUAUUAAAUAUAGAUAAAAAAUAACUAAUUGCAUAUUUUACUUGUAAUUUGCGAGACGAAUCUUUUGAGUCUAGUUAGUUUUAUAAUUUAAUAAUAUUUGUCAAAUACUAUACAAACAAACGAAAGUACGACUAUAUCCGUUGUGCAGAAAAGAAAAAAAAAAUUGAAACUAAACAAAACCCAGCGAGCGGCUUAAUCUAAUCGAAGACGACGACCACGACGCCGAGCGCCCGUCUUUGCAGUGGUGAUGACCAGGGGCAGCGCAGAGAAAGCAACACGCAAUAAUUAGAGGAGAUAAUCUUUUUUAGUGGAGCGAUCGAGAUCAUUGCAGUAACAAACUUACACCCCCACUGCACUCGGGACGCAAUCCGCCGGUCUCCAUCAACGCUGUACCAGUGCUAAUAAGGCGCUAGCUGCUCGAUCUGCUCAUGCAUCUCUACCGCGCGCGCGUACGUCGAUCGCUAGCUCCCGUACUCGUACAGUGUACGUGACAACACUGCAGCUGCAGCUGCAGCAGGCGACCGCCGCGGCCCCGUGCUCCUAUCGACCCCUUGGCCC
RNAcentral lists this long non-coding RNA (1067 nucleotides) under Sorghum bicolor (sorghum). RNAcentral describes it as "long non-coding RNA (SBIC_LNC007256)". Lineage: Eukaryota; Viridiplantae; Streptophyta; Magnoliopsida; Poales; Poaceae. The record is from RNAcentral.